GCAUCAAAGCACGGAGCCCACAGUGUGCAGGCUGCGCUUUUAGCAGGCCACGUGGUAGACAAGAAGGCCAUCCACAAGGUCAGAGCCCGCAUCACAGGCCCAUAGCGACUUGGCUGCACGGCCCCACAUGGAGAUGGUGACCUGGGGCGACAGGGGCCCAUCGGGAACUUUACGAGGAGCAGGUCGUACGCCCUGUCGCGACGCCCGCAUCCUGUGAUGCUCCGGGAGACGUGGCUUCCCUUCCUGGUGCUUCCAUCGGUACCGGUGCUCCUCCUUCGCGGCCCUGACCCCGCACAACAAGCAUCUGCGUGCGCUACCCGCCCCCCACACCGAGGCCGUGUGACCUUCAAAGUCAGGGACUUUGCCUCAUCUCUGCGCUCCUGGAGCCCGUCAAGGUGCUGUUUGCAUAGAUGCUGAAUAAACAUACACCGGGAUUAAAGGCAGUUAAUGGAAUGGCAGCAAUGGAAGAAAUUCUAGGUCAGUGGCUCUCAAACCAGCAGGCAUCAAAAUCCCCCGGGGAGCUUGUUCACAGGCAGGUGUGUGAUUUAGCAGGUCCGACGUGGCCACCGGCUGCUGCCGAGGUCCCGUCACCUCGCCUAUGAGAGCCCUGCUCUGACGAAGGUCUGUCCCCAGCCGCCUACGUGAUAGAACUGAAGCGGAGGGUGUGAGGUGGGAAGAAAGCUUCUAACAUCCUGCCCGCCCAGCUCCUGUUCAGGUGCAGCGGCUGCGGCCAGCUCCGGAAAGCUCGGUCUCCCCGCGCGGGACAAGGUCUCCACUCAGCUUGCAGCGUCCUGACGGCCUCCAGCAACGGCCAGCUCUCCCAAUUAUCCUCCAGGAGGGCCAGGCGCCGUCCAUGCUAACCCCCGCAUUCAGGAGAACGAAGACAGAGGCAGAGACCCCCCGGCAUCUAAACGAGACCCCGGAUGUGUGUGGCGUGGGAUUCACAGACACCUGCUGGUAUCCGUUCCUCAAACUCCCCAGGGGACCACGGUGUGCGUCCAACACAGGACACACUGUGUCGGCCCA
Lynx canadensis (Canada lynx) is the source of this 1026-nucleotide long non-coding RNA. RefSeq lists it as uncharacterized. Lineage: Eukaryota; Metazoa; Chordata; Mammalia; Carnivora; Felidae. The record is from RefSeq and is a predicted model, not a curated record. The transcript is spliced from 2 exons.